Molecule: ribosomal RNA, 807 nt
Filed under: uncultured Staphylococcus sp.
Lineage: Bacteria; Bacillati; Bacillota; Bacilli; Caryophanales; Staphylococcaceae
Description: bacterial SSU rRNA
Rfam family: Bacterial small subunit ribosomal RNA
Source: RNAcentral
CGGCGGACGGGUGAGUAACACGUGGAUAACCUACCUAUAAGACUGGGAUAACUUCGGGAAACCGGAGCUAAUACCGGAUAAUAUUAUGAACCGCAUGGUUCAAAAGUGAAAGACGGUCUUGCUGUCACUUAUAGAUGGAUCCGCGCUGCAUUAGCUAGUUGGUAAGGUAACGGCUUACCAAGGCAACGAUGCAUAGCCGACCUGAGAGGGUGAUCGGCCACACUGGAACUGAGACACGGUCCAGACUCCUACGGGAGGCAGCAGUAGGGAAUCUUCCGCAAUGGGCGAAAGCCUGACGGAGCAACGCCGCGUGAGUGAUGAAGGUCUUCGGAUCGUAAAACUCUGUUAUUAGGGAAGAACAUAUGUGUAAGUAACUGUGCACAUCUUGACGGUACCUAAUCAGAAAGCCACGGCUAACUACGUGCCAGCAGCCGCGGUAAUACGUAGGUGGCAAGCGUUAUCCGGAAUUAUUGGGCGUAAAGCGCGCGUAGGCGGUUUUUUAAGUCUGAUGUGAAAGCCCACGGCUCAACCGUGGAGGGUCAUUGGAAACUGGAAAACUUGAGUGCAGAAGAGGAAAGUGGAAUUCCAUGUGUAGCGGUGAAAUGCGCAGAGAUAUGGAGGAACACCAGUGGCGAAGGCGACUUUCUGGUCUGUAACUGACGCUGAUGUGCGAAAGCGUGGGGAUCAAACAGGAUUAGAUACCCUGGUAGUCCACGCCGUAAACGAUGAGUGCUAAGUGUUAGGGGGUUUCCGCCCCUUAGUGCUGCAGCUAACGCAUUAAGCACUCCGCCUGGGGAGUACGACCGC